UAGGGAAUCUUCCGCAAUGGGCGAAAGCCUGACGGAGCAACGCCGCGUGAGUGAUGAAGGUCUUCGGAUCGUAAAACUCUGUUAUUAGGGAAGAACAAAUGUGUAAGUAACUGUGCACGUCUUGACGGUACCUAAUCAGAAAGCCACGGCUAACUACGUGCCAGCAGCCGCGGUAAUACGUAGGUGGCAAGCGUUAUCCGGAAUUAUUGGGCGUAAAGCGCGCGUAGGCGGUUUCUUAAGUCUGAUGUGAAAGCCCACGGCUCAACCGUGGAGGGUCAUUGGAAACUGGGAAACUUGAGUGCAGAAGAGGAAAGUGGAAUUCCAUGUGUAGCGGUGAAAUGCGCAGAGAUAUGGAGGAACACCAGUGGCGAAGGCGACUUUCUGGUCUGUAACUGACGCUGAUGUGCGAAAGCGUGGGGAUCAAACAGG
This 429-nucleotide ribosomal RNA is filed under the name Staphylococcus nepalensis. Its description in RNAcentral is "bacterial SSU rRNA". It matches the Rfam family "Bacterial small subunit ribosomal RNA", at positions 355 to 776 of the family's 1533-position model. Lineage: Bacteria; Bacillati; Bacillota; Bacilli; Caryophanales; Staphylococcaceae. The record is from RNAcentral. RNAcentral also lists the same sequence under 2 other names.